CGCGAAGCAUGGCGAUGCGAGAAAUAUUACAGAAUUAUUCUCUCUAAUAUGAGUGAUUAAUAUUAUUUCGUAAUUAUUUAAUUUGUAUGUAAAACUUGUUUGAUGAUUAAAUAAAUCGUAAGGAUAUCGUGGCGACGAUUUUGUUAGAAGCAAAUAUUUCGCGCCUUUUAUUCACGUGAAGUAGGCAUUAUUAUUGACGCGUCACAUUAAUGCGUAGUUGCUGACGUCCGUCGUUCCGGAAUCACUAACGAAAUGCCGCGAACGAGAGACGAACCGCGGAGAUUCGCAAUGUAUUUAAUUAAGAGUAAGUCAUAAUUGCAAUCAUAUUUAAUAAUUUUCCAUUGCGUAGCAUGUAAAUCUAGUGUUUGGCCAUGUGCGACUCGUAUCGUUGUUUACGCGCUGUCAUCCUGUCAUACGCGCGCGCCGACAGUCGAGAACAAGUAGGUUAACAGAACGGUAUCGCAUCACAUUAAUUUUCAAGACGUUUUCGUGAAAAAUACUACGAUCAUGAUAUAUUGAUAUACUACAAGUGUGAUUAAUGAGUAUCAACCGGCAUUACUCAAUUUGAUUAAACGAAUCGCGGCGAUGGGUGUGUGUCGAAAAAAAUUCUUGUGCGGUUUAUUUGCUUGAAUAGAUAUUGACGCGAUCGGAAUUUAUAUAAAUUAUGGUAUAUAUUUCAUGAGUGAGUGUGUUAUAUAGUCUUAUAAUAAAUAUAACUACAAUAAUUGUGUGUUGUGUAUUAAAAUCAUAUUUUAAUCAUUUUCGAUCGUAUAACAUUUAAAUAUUUAUGCGACUAUCAAUUUGUUUAAACUUUAAACCUUAAAUCUCUGCUGUAUUCGCGCGCAUAUGAAAUUAGUCUCUAGAGAUAUCACUAGAGCGAUCGUGAAUAACUUCGUGCGCGUUUCCCGUGUUGGUUUCCCGCCAUAAUCAAGUGCGCGCCGCUUGCUAGUAAAAUCGGGAGUGAAAAGUGUCAUUAAUUAAUCGCGCUUAUUAAUUGUAUUCGAGUGCGCGCAUUGUAAUUGUAAUUAAUUGUUUUCACGAAUGAGUGUCACGAAGGAGCAACGAUGAAAUGAGAGAGGAGGAGGAGGAGAUCCGGAGUGGCAUCGGGCAACGGCGGAGUAAUCAGGAGAUGAAUGCUACAUGUAUAUAUGUGUAACUUCGCCGCUGCGCAUCGCAUAAAAGAAGAGCGUCUGCCUGCGAUGAUCGCCGAUACCUUCGUGGACCUCGCCCUCCAGAUAUCUGCACUCUCGAUCACCCUUAAGGACGCACGACUCGAAG
This is a long non-coding RNA of Cataglyphis hispanica, 1278 nucleotides long. RefSeq lists it as uncharacterized. The record is from RefSeq and is a predicted model, not a curated record. NCBI's taxonomy places the organism in Eukaryota, Metazoa, Arthropoda, Insecta, Hymenoptera, Formicidae. The transcript has 3 exons.